RNAcentral lists this non-coding RNA (29 nucleotides) under Mus musculus (house mouse). The record is from RNAcentral. Lineage: Eukaryota; Metazoa; Chordata; Mammalia; Rodentia; Muridae.
UGGAAGCACCUUGAGUUCUUGAGAGCAGC